GACGAACGCUGGCGGCGUGCCUAAUACAUGCAAGUAGAACGCUGAAGGAGGAGCUUGCUCUUCUGGAUGAGUUGCGAACGGGUGAGUAACGCGUAGGUAACCUGCCUGGUAGCGGGGGAUAACUAUUGGAAACGAUAGCUAAUACCGCAUAACAGUAGAUGUUGCAUGACAUUUGCUUAAAAGGUGCAAUUGCACCACUACCAGAUGGACCUGCGUUGUAUUAGCUAGUUGGUGGGGUAACGGCUCACCAAGGCGACGAUACAUAGCCGACCUGAGAGGGUGGUCGGCCACACUGGGACUGGGACACGGCCCAGACUCCUACGGGAGGCAGCAGUAGGGAAUCUUCGGCAAUGGACGGAAGUCUGACCGAGCAACGCCGCGUGAGUGAAGAAGGUUUUCGGAUCGUAAAGCUCUGUUGUAAGAGAAGAACGAGUGUGAGAGUGGAAAGUUCACACUGUGACGGUAUCUUACCAGAAAGGGACGGCUAACUACGUG
RNAcentral lists this ribosomal RNA (495 nucleotides) under uncultured bacterium. RNAcentral describes it as "partial 16S ribosomal RNA". It matches the Rfam family "Bacterial small subunit ribosomal RNA", at positions 28 to 507 of the family's 1533-position model. The record is from RNAcentral.